GGCGGACGGGUGAGUAACGCGUGGGUAACCUGCCUCAUACAGGGGGAUAACAGUUGGAAACGACUGCUAAUACCGCAUAAGCACACAGUGCCGCAUGGUACGGUGUGAAAAACUCCGGUGGUAUGAGAUGGACCCGCGUCUGAUUAGGUAGUUGGUGAGGUAACGGCCCACCAAGCCGACGAUCAGUAGCCGACCUGAGAGGGUGACCGGCCACAUUGGGACUGAGACACGGCCCAAACUCCUACGGGAGGCAGCAGUGGGGAAUAUUGGACAAUGGGGGAAACCCUGAUCCAGCGACGCCGCGUGAGUGAAGAAGUAUUUCGGUAUGUAAAGCUCUAUCAGCAGGGAAGAAAAUGACGGUACCUGACUAAGAAGCCCCGGCUAACUACGUGCCAGCAGCCGCGGUAAUACGUAGGGGGCAAGCGUUAUCCGGAUUUACUGGGUGUAAAGGGAGCGUAGACGGCACUGCAAGUCUGGAGUGAAAGCCCGGGGCUCAACCCCGGGGACUGCUUUGGAAAACUGUGGUGCUAGAGUGCAGGAGAGGUAAGUGGAAUUCCUAGUGUAGCGGUGAAAUGCGUNAGAUAUUAGGAGGAACACCCAGUGGCCGAAGGCGGCUUACUGGACUGUAACUGACGUUGAGGCUCGAAAGCGUUGGGGAGCAAACAGGAUUAGAUACCCUGGUUAGUCCACGNCCGUAAACGAUUGAAUACUAGGUGUUGGGGAGCAAAGCUCUUCGGUGCCGCCGCUAACGCAAUAAGUAUUCCACCUGGGGAGUACGUUCGCAAGAAUGAAACUCAAAGGAAUUGACGGGGACCCGCACAAGCGGUGGAGCAUGUGGUUUAAUUCGAAGCAACGCGAAGAACCUUACCAAGUCUUGACAUCGGAAUGACCGGGAUGUAACGAUCCCUUCCCUNCGGGGCAUUCCAGACAGGUGGNGCANNGUUGUCGUCAGCUCGUGUCGUGAGAUGUUGGGUUAAGUCCCGCAACGAGCGCAACCCUUAUCCUUAGUAGCCAGCANGUNAAGUUGGGCACUCUGGGGAGACUGCCAGGGAUAACCUGGAGGAAGGUGGGGAUGACGUCAAAUCAUCAUGCCCCUUAUGAUUUGGGCUACACACGUGCUACAAUGGCGUAAACAAAGGGAAGCAAAGGAGCGAUCUGGAGCAAACCCCAAAAAUAACGUCUCAGUUCGGAUUGUAGUCUGCAACUCGACUACAUGAAGCUGGAAUCGCUAGUAAUCGCGGAUCAUNAAAGGCGCGGUGAAUACGUUCCCGGGUCUUGUACACGCCCCCUUNNAGGGCCAUGGGAGUUGGUAACGCCCGAAGUCCAGUGACCCAACCGUAAGGAGG
Molecule: ribosomal RNA, 1346 nt
Filed under: bacterium NLAE-zl-C236
Lineage: Bacteria
Description: 16S ribosomal RNA
Rfam family: Bacterial small subunit ribosomal RNA
Source: RNAcentral